This 1489-nucleotide ribosomal RNA is filed under the name Lactiplantibacillus plantarum. RNAcentral describes it as "bacterial SSU rRNA". It matches the Rfam family "Bacterial small subunit ribosomal RNA". The record is from RNAcentral. Lineage: Bacteria; Bacillati; Bacillota; Bacilli; Lactobacillales; Lactobacillaceae.
GACGAACGCUGGCGGCGUGCCUAAUACAUGCAAGUCGAACGAACUCUGGUAUUGAUUGGUGCUUGCAUCAUGAUUUACAUUUGAGUGAGUGGCGAACUGGUGAGUAACACGUGGGAAACCUGCCCAGAAGCGGGGGAUAACACCUGGAAACAGAUGCUAAUACCGCAUAACAACUUGGACCGCAUGGUCCGAGUUUGAAAGAUGGCUUCGGCUAUCACUUUUGGAUGGUCCCGCGGCGUAUUAGCUAGAUGGUGGGGUAACGGCUCACCAUGGCAAUGAUACGUAGCCGACCUGAGAGGGUAAUCGGCCACAUUGGGACUGAGACACGGCCCAAACUCCUACGGGAGGCAGCAGUAGGGAAUCUUCCACAAUGGACGAAAGUCUGAUGGAGCAACGCCGCGUGAGUGAAGAAGGGUUUCGGCUCGUAAAACUCUGUUGUUAAAGAAGAACAUAUCUGAGAGUAACUGUUCAGGUAUUGACGGUAUUUAACCAGAAAGCCACGGCUAACUACGUGCCAGCAGCCGCGGUAAUACGUAGGUGGCAAGCGUUGUCCGGAUUUAUUGGGCGUAAAGCGAGCGCAGGCGGUUUUUUAAGUCUGAUGUGAAAGCCUUCGGCUCAACCGAAGAAGUGCAUCGGAAACUGGGAAACUUGAGUGCAGAAGAGGACAGUGGAACUCCAUGUGUAGCGGUGAAAUGCGUAGAUAUAUGGAAGAACACCAGUGGCGAAGGCGGCUGUCUGGUCUGUAACUGACGCUGAGGCUCGAAAGUAUGGGUAGCAAACAGGAUUAGAUACCCUGGUAGUCCAUACCGUAAACGAUGAAUGCUAAGUGUUGGAGGGUUUCCGCCCUUCAGUGCUGCAGCUAACGCAUUAAGCAUUCCGCCUGGGGAGUACGGCCGCAAGGCUGAAGCUCAAAGGAAUUGACGGGGGCCCGCACAAGCGGUGGAGCAUGUGGUUCAAUUCGAAGCUACGCGAAGAACCUUACCAGGUCUUGACAUACUAUGCAAAUCUAAGAGAUUAGACGUUCCCUUCGGGGACAUGGAUACAGGUGGUGCAUGGUUGUCGUCAGCUCGUGUCGUGAGAUGUUGGGUUAAGUCACGCAACGAGCGCAACCCUUAUUAUCAGUUGCCAGCAUUAAGUUGGGCACUCUGGUGAGACUGCCGGUGACAAACCGGAGGAAGGUGGGGAUGACGUCAAAUCAUCAUGCCCCUUAUGACCUGGGCUACACACGUGCUACAAUGGAUGGUACAACGAGUUGCGAACUCGCGAGAGUAAGCUAAUCUCUUAAAGCCAUUCUCAGUUCGGAUUGUAGGCUGCAACUCGCCUACAUGAAGUCGGAAUCGCUAGUAAUCGCGGAUCAGCAUGCCGCGGUGAAUACGUUCCCGGGCCUUGUACACACCGCCCGUCACACCAUGAGAGUUUGUAACACCCAAAGUCGGUGGGGUAACCUUUUAGGAACCAGCCGCCUAAGGUGGGACAGAUGAUUAGGGUG